UCCCCCUUCGCCCUGCUCCCAUUCAUCCCCUGAGGAACCCUAGCCACCGCCCCAAUUAGCCACCGGCCUCCUCUCCGCCAUUGCUGCCCACCUCCCGCUCCUCCCACUACCACUCUAACCUCACAUCCAGAACCAUCCGGUUCAGUCCAUAGAAGGGGAGGGAAUGGCUGCGGUGGCGGAGGAUGUGGAGGCGUUCCUGGCGAUGUGCGCGGUGUUGGGGGAUGCAGCAUACGGUGCAACCAAGGCCAUGCUGGAGUGGCUCAACGCGCCGGCCAAGCGCGCCGAGGCCAGGCGGCUCCUCGGCACCGUGCGAUGACGAUUCACCAUCGGCGGCCCUGCCGCAGGCCUCGAGUGCUUCCGCAUCAGUGGAGAGGCCCCAAUUCCUCCCUAGGUCUGCACACCGACGCCAGCCGCCGCAACCGGAAAGCGCUCUCCAGCCACUGCCAUAUGCCUGGUUUCUUUACCUUCUUUUACUUUUAUGGAUUUAUAGCUAGCAAUAGAGGACCAUAGAUGGGGAACAAAUUGAGGAGGUACGACGGUUGGGGUAGGCUUGACCGCCGGUGGAUUCGCCGUGGCCCGGGUUCUGGCAGAUUGGUGUUGGUGUAGGCGGUAAUUGCAGCGACGUUGGUGGACCAUCUGUUGGUCUUGGAUGCCCCAGUCUGGGUUUUUGAGGCUAUGGAAAGCUGGAUGUGCUCUUUUUUCUAGGUGGGAUCAGACGUUGUUCUGGGUGGCAAAUGCCUCGUUGUGUUGACUACCAUAGUGAGGCCGGUGGAAUUCAGUGGCCUGGCAUCAAGGAGUUGAGGCUGAGGUUGCAGGCAAUUGCACUGAGAGUGCUAUGGGAGUGGCUUCGACGUACCCAACCUAGAAGACCCUUGCAAGGGCUAGAGAUGAUAUAGUCAAUUUUGUGCAUGGGAAAUUCAUAGACUGAUUAUGUAUGCUAUGUAGUGUGUUGAUGCUGCUCAUGAUCCAGUCAUACCUAGAGUCAUAACUUUGGUUUUCUCACAUGCCUUCGUUUCGCAUUAUCUUGUGUAAGCACAUCCAUGCAAAAGGUUGUGUGGGUGUCUUUUAAUUUCAGAGGUAAAUAAACUCCCCUUAGUUUUUUGGCCUGACACUAAAUCAGCUUUCUUCUUUUACGCAAUUCAUGUCGCUAAGAUUGUUUUUUACCAUGUAAAUUUUCCCUGAUCGGUUUGCUUGAUGGAUGAAUGGUGAUGAUGAUGUGAUUGUUUUUUUACCAUGUGCAACCAGUACUUGGCCGAGAUGCUCACCGAGAACCAGAUGCUUGGGCCUUUGAUGCAGGUGCUGCCCAUAUGCAGCAAGCUGUCGAGCCAAGGUUGUUGGCACAUCUUAUAACCAGGUAACUUCCACUGGAUCCUUCUAUUAACAAGCAGCUAGACCCAAGGUUUACAUGAAGAGGGAGAAUGUCGGCAGCUGGAAUUCUGGGCUGGAAAAGGAGCAAAUAUUAGAGACCUAUUCUGCACAACUCCAAAAGUCUUGAAACUCCACGGAAGUUAUUUUUGGAAUUAAUAAAAAAUACAGAGCAAAGAAAAUACCAGAGGGGGGACACCCACCAUCCACGAUGGUGGGAGGCGUGCCCUACCCCCCUGGGCGUGCCCCCUGCCUCGUGGGCCACCUGGCAGGCCUCCGGUGCCCAUCUUCUGCUAUAUGAAGUCUUUUACCCAGGAAAAAAAUAAUAAGCAAGCUUUCGGGAUGAAACACCGCCACCACGAGGCGGAACCUUGGCAGAACCAAUCUAGGGCUCCGGCGGAGCUGUUCUGCCGGGCAAACAUCCCUCCGGAAGGGGGAAAUCAUCACCAUCGUCAUCUCCAUCGAUCCUCUCAUCGGGAGGGGAUCAAUCUCCUUCAACAUCUUCACCAGCACCAUCUCCUCUCAAACCCUAGUUCAUCUCUUGUAUCCAAUCUUUGCCUCAAAACCUCAGAUUGGUACCUGUGGGUUGCUAGUAGUGUUGAUUACUCCUUGUAGUUGAUGCUAGUUGGCUUAUUCGGUGGAAGAUCAUAUGCUCAGAUCCUUAAAGCAUAUUAAUACCCCUCUGAUUAUGAACAUGAAUAUGAUUUGUGAGUAGUUAUGUUUGUUCCUGAGGACAUGGGAGAAGUCUUGCCAUAAGUAGUCAUGUGAAUUUGGUAUUCGUUUGAUAUUUUGAUGAGAUGUAUGUUGUCUUUCCUCUAGUGGUGUUAUGUGAACAUCGACUACAUGACACUUCACCAUUGUUUGGGCCUAGACGAAGGCAUUAGGAAGUAAUAGGUAUAUGAUGGGUUGCUAGAGUGACAGAAGCUUAAACCCUAGUUUAUGAGUUGCUUCGUAAGGGGCUGAUUUGGAUCCAUAUGUUUCAUGCUGUGGUUAGGUUUACCUUAAUACUUCUUUUGUAGUUACGGAUGCUUGCAAUAGGGGUUAAUCAUAAGUUGGAUGCUUGUCCAAGAAAGGGCAGUACCCAAGCACUGGUCCACCCACAUACCAAGCACUGCACCUUAUUUACUUUUGUUAGUUGUUACCCGUUACGAAUUACCUUAUCACAAAACUAUCUGUUACCGACAAUUUCAGUGCUUGCAGAGAAUACCUUACUGAAAACCGCUUGUCAUUUCCUUCUGCUCCUCGUUGGGUUCGACACUCUUACUUAUCAAAAGGACUAAGAUAGAUCCCCUACACUUGUGGGUCAUCAAGACUCUUUUCUGGCGCCAUUGCCGGGGAGUGAAGCGCCUUUGGUAAGUUGAACUUGGUAAGGAAAAAUUUAUAUAGUGUGCUGAAAUUUACUAUCACUUGUUACUAUGAAACAUAAUCCUUUGAGGGGCUUGUUCGGGGUAUCUUCGCCCUGACCAGUAGAGCAAAGAGUUGCUCCUCAACCUACUGAACCUACUGAAAAUGUUUACUUUGAAAUUCAGGUAUGAUAGAGAAACUGCUAGCUAAUCCUUCUACAGGAGAUGGAACAUUGCAUCCCGAUUUGCACCUAAUCUAUGUGGAUGAAGUUUGUGGAUUAUUUAAGCUUGCAGGUAUGCCCGAGGAUAUUAUCAAGAAGAAGGUCUUCCCUUUAUCUUUGAAGGGAAAGGCAUUGACAUGGUUUAGGCUAUGUGAUGAUAUGGGAUCAUGGAACUACAACCAAUUGAAAUUGGAAUUUCAUCAGAAGUUUUAUCCUAGGCAUCUUGUUCAUCAUGAUCGUAAUUAUAUAUAUAAUUUUUGGCCUCGCAAAGGAGAAAGCAUCGCUCAAGCUUGGGGAAGGCUUAAGUCAAUGUUAUAUUCAUGCCCCAAUCAUGACCUCUCAAGAGAAAUUAUUAUUCAAUUUUUUUAUGCUCGGCUUUCUCUCAACAAUCUCUCCAUGCUCAAUACUUCUGGUACUAGUUCUUUUAUGAUGAAGACUAUUGAAUUCAGAUGAGAUUUAUUGGAAAGAAUUAAUCGCAACUCUGAAGAUUGGGAUAUCGACGAAGGUAAGGAGUCAGGUAUAACACCUAAGUUUGAUUGUGUUAAAUCUUUUAUUGAUACCAAUGCUUUUAAUGAAUUUAGCACUAAAUAUGGACUUGACUCUGAGAUAGUAGCUUCUUUUUGUGAAUUAUUUGCUACUCAUGUUGACCUCCCUAAGGAGAAGUGGUUUAAAUAUAAUCCUCCCAUUGAAGUAAAAGUAGUUGCACCUAUUAAAGUUGAAGAAAAGACUAUCACUUUUAAUGAUCCUAUUGUUCCUACUACCCAUAUUGAGAACCCACCUUUCCCUAUUAGGAUAAAGGAUCAUGCUAAAGCUUCAACUGUGGUUCGUAAGAGUAAUACUAGAACACCUACACCACCUAAGCAUAUUAAAGUUGACCCUAGUAUGGCCAUGGUUAAAGAUCUCUUGGCUGAUAAUAUUGAUGGGCAUGUUAUUUACUUCUGUGAUGAAGCUGCUAGAAUUGUUAGACCCAAUGCUAAAAAUAAACAUAGACCUGUUGUAGGCAUGCCUGUUAUUUUUGUUAAAAUGGGAGAUCAUUGUUAUCAUGGCUUAUGUGAUAUAGGUGCUAGUGCAAGUGCAAUACCUCAUUCCUUAUAAAAGGAAAUUAUGCAUGAUAUUGCACCUGUUGAGAUAGAAGAAAUUGAUGUUACAAUUAAGCUUGCCAAUAGAGAUACUAUUUCACCAAUUGGGAUUGUUAGAGAUGUCGAAGUCUUGUGUGGGAAAGUUAAAUAUCCUGCUGAUUUUCUUGUUCUUGGUUCCCCACAAGAUAGCUUUUGUCCCAUCAUAUUUGGUAGACCCUUCUUGAAUACUGUUAAUGCUAGGAUAGACUGCAAAAAGGAUGUUGUUACUAUUGGUUUGGGGGAUAUGUCUCAUGAGUUUAAUUUUUCUAAAUUUCAUAGACAACCCCGUGAUAAAGAAUUUCCUAGUAAGGAUGAAAUUAUUGGUCUUCCUUCUAUUGCCGUGCCUCCUAAUGAUCCUUUAGAGCAAUAUUUGCUAGACCAUGAAAUGAUAUGUUUAUGAAUGAAAGAAGGGAGAUAGAUGAAGUAUUCUUUAAACAGGGACCUAUUUUGAAACCCAACUUGCCUGUUGAAAUCCUAGGGGAUCCUCAUCCACCCAAGGGUGAUCCCAUGUUUGAGCUUAAACCACUACCUGAUACCCUUAAAUAUGCUUAUCUUGAUGAAAAGAAUAUAUAUCCUAUUAUUAUUAGUGCUAACCUUUCAGAGCAGGAAGAGGAGAAAUUAUUGAAAACUCUGAAGAAGCACCGUGCUGCUAUUGGAUAUACUCUUGAUGAUCUUAAGGGCAUUAGUCCCACCCUAUGCCAACACAAAAUAGAAUUGGAGAAAGAUCCCAAACCAGUUGUUGAUCACCAACGGCGGUUGAAUCCUAAGAUGAAAGAAGUGGUUAGAAAAAAAAUACUAAAGCUCCUGGAGGCAAUUAUAAUCUAUCCUGUUGCUGAUAGUCAGUGGGUAAGUCAUGUCCAUUGUGUCCCUAAGAAGGGAGGUAUCACUUUCGUUCCUAAUGAUAAAGAUGAAUUGAUCCUGCAAAGAAUUGUCAUAGGUUAUAGGAUGGUAAUUGAUUUCCGCAAGUUAAAUAAAGCUACUAAAAAGUAUCAUUACCCUUUACCUUUUAUAGAUCAAAUGCUAGAAAGAUUAUCCAAACAUACACAUUUUUGCUUUCUAGAUGGUUACUCUAGUUUCUUUCAAAUACCUGUGUCAAAAGAGGAUCAAGAAAAGACGACUUUUACUUGCCCUUUCGGUACUUUUGCUUAGAGACAUAUGCCUUUUGGUUUAUGUAAUGCACCUGCUACCUUUCAAAGAUGCAUGAUGGCUAUAUCUCUGACUUUUGUGAAAAGAUUGUUGAGGUUUUCAUGGAUGAUUUCUCCGUUUAUGGAUCUUCUUUUGAUGAUUGCUUGAGCAACCUUGAUCGAGUUUUGCAGAGGUGUGAAGAAACUAAUCUUGUCUUGAAUUGGGAGAAGUGCCACUUUAUGGUUAAUGAAGGCAUUGUCUUGGGACAUAAAAUUUCUGAAAGAGGUAUUGAAGUUGAUAAAUCUAAAGUUGAUGCUAUUGAAAAGAUGUCGUGUCCUAAAGACAUUAAAGGUAUAAGAAGUUUCCUUGGUCAUGCCGGUUUUUAUAGAGGUUUAUUAAGGACUUCUCUAAAAUUUCUAGGCCUCUGACUAAUCUCUUACAAAAAGAUAUUCCUUUUGUCUUCGAUGAUGAUUGUGUAGAAGCAUUUGAAAUACUUAAGAAAGCUUUGAUUUCUGUACCUAUUGUUCAGCCACCUGAUUAGAAUUUACCCUUUGAAAUUAUGUGCGAUGCUAGUGAUUAUGCCGUAGCUAGGUGCUGUUCUAGGACAAAGAGUUGAUAAGAAACUAAAUGUUAUUCAAUAUGCUAGUAAAACUCUAGACAGUGCCCAGAGAAAUUAUGCUACUACUGAAAAAGAAUUUUUAGAAGUUGUAUUUGCUUGUGAUAAGUUUAGACCUUAUAUUAUUAAUUCUAAAGUAAUUGUUCACACUGAUCAUGCUGCUAUUAAAUAUCUUAUGGAAAAGAAAUAUGCUAAACCUAGAAUUAUUAGAUGGGUUCUCCUACUACAAGAAUUUUAUUUGCAUAUUAUUGAUAGAAAGGGAGCUGAAAACCCCACUGCAGACAACUUGUCUAGGUUAGAGAAUGUUCUUGAUGACCCACUACCUAUUGAUGAUAGCUUUCCUGACGAACAAUUAGCUGUCAUAAAUGCUUCUCCUACUGCUCCAUGGUAUGUUGAUUAUGCUAAUUACAUUGUUGCUAAAUUUAUACCACCUAGUUUCACGUACCAGCAAAAGAAAAAGUUUUUCUAUGAUCUAAGACAUUACUUCUAGGAUGACCCGCAUCGUUAUAAAGAAGGACUAGAUGGUGUUAUUAGACAUUGUGUACCUGAGCGUGAACAGGAACAGAUCCUACACAAGUGCCACUCCGAGGCUUAUGGAGGACACCAUGCUGGAGAUAGGACUGCGCAUAAGGUAUUGCAAUCCGGAUUUUAUUGGCCUACUCUCUUCAAGGAUGCCUGUAAGUUUGUCUUGUCUUGCGAUGAAUGUGAAAGAAUUGGUAAUAUUAGUAGACGUCAAGAAAUGCCUAUGAAUUAUUCUCUUGUUAUUGAACCAUCUGAUGUUUGAGGCUUUGAUUAUAUGGGAUCGUUUCCUUCCUCUAAUGGGUAUACACAUAUUUUAGUUACUGUUGAUUACGUUACUAAGUGGGUAGAAGCUAUUCCAACUAGUAGUGCUGAUCAUAAUACCUCUAUUAAGAUGCUUAAAGAAGUUAUUUUUCCGAGGUUUGGAGUCCCUAGAUAUUUAAUGACUGAUGGUGGUUCACAUUUUAUUCAUGGUGCUUUUCGUAAAAUGCUUGCUAAGUAUGACGUUAAUCAUAGAAUUGUAUCUCCAUAUCACCCACAGUCUAGUGGCCAAGUAGAACUGAGUAACAUAGAGCUUAAAUUGAUUUUGCAAAAGACUGUUAAUAGAUCUAGAAAGAAUUGGUCCAAGAAACUUGAUGAUGCAUUGUGGGCUUAUAGAACUGCAUAUAAAGAUCCUAUGGGUAUGUUUCCAUAUAAAAUGGUUUAUGGAAAAGCAUGUCACUUACCUCUCGAACUAGAACAUAAGGCAUAUUGGGCCAAGAGCUUAAUUACAAUUUCAAACUUGCCGAUGAGAAGAGGUUAUUUGAUAUUAGCUCACUUGAUGAAUGGAGAACUCAAGCCUAUGAGAAUGCCAAACUGUUUAAAGAAAAAGUUAAAAGAUGUCAUGACAAAAGGAUACAAAAGCGUUAGUUUAAUGUAGGUGACUAUGUGUUGCUAUUCAACUCUCGUUUAAGAUUUUUUGCAGGAAAACUCCUCUCUAGAUGGGAAGGGCCUUACGUUAUCGAGGAGUUCUAUCGUUCCGGUGCCAUAAAAAUCAACAACUUCAAAGGCACAAAUUCGAAGGUGGUGAACGGUCAAAGGAUCAAAUAUUAUAUCUCAGGUAAUCCCAUAAAUGUUGAAACCAAUGUUAUUGAAACCGUAACCCCGGAGGAAUACAUGAGGGACACUUCCGAGAACGUUUCAGACUCCAAAAAGGAAUAGGUAUGUGGUACGGUAAGUAAACCGACUCCAAAAUAGUUCUAAUAGAAAUUUUUCUCCGUUUUGGAAUAUUUAGGAAAAUAGGAAAAUAAGAAGUAGUCCAGGAAGGACACAGGCAUCCACGAGGGUGGAGGGCGCGCCCUACCCCCUCGGCAUGCCCCCUGCCUCGUGGGCACCUCGUGUGCUCUCUGGACUCUGUUUUCUUGCACGAUACUUCUUUUUGUCGGUAAAAAUUCAUUAUAUAAUCUCCCGAAGGUUUUGACCACCGUACCACGACGAAAUCCUCUGUUUUUGUCUUGAACUGUUUUGGUCACAGAUUAGAGCAAGAUGUCUUCUCAAGAGUCAGUAGGGGAGAGUCGGGUGUCUCAUCCAACACCGGGACCAGGAGCAAACAACGAUGCUGACAACUUUGGUCCAUCAAUGGAGGAAGAGAUGGAGGCCGAUUUGAAAAGGAUAGAUGCUAUGGUGGAGGAUCAAGAAGUUACUUGUCGCUUCCGAUCCGGAUUCACGAUGGGGGAACUGCAGAGCUCAACUAUUCUAAACUCGGUCAUCCCUUCCAAUGUUAGAUUUCUUUCUUAUGAAAAUAUGAAAAAGAGUGCCACUUGUUCCCCCGCAGCUAUGCAACAUCCAUGGGUGAAAGGAACUUUAGCCGUCACGGGUAAGCUCCGUAAGGAAAUAAUGGACCUCAAGCAGCAAGUCAGUAAGCUCGAGGAGGAGAAUUGUAUCCUGAGGGGCAUCAUUGCCAAGAAUAUCACACCACCACCUCCAAAGAAAGAGACAUAAUCACAUGGGUAUGGGCACUCCCCUUGGCAAUUGCCAAGCUUGGGGGAGGUGCCCCGAUAUCGUAUCACCAUCACACUCCUAUCUUUACCGUUUUCUUAGUUUGAUCCUUUUGGUAAUAUCUUGAUCUAGUAGAAUAAAGUUUUAGUAUGAUCUAGUUUUGAGUUUUGCUUUAUGAUUCCUCUAUCUAAUCGAGUCCAUGAGCUAUAUAUAAUGAAGAUUAGUGUUGAGUCAAGGGCUUUGCUAUCUUGCUAUGAUCUUGUGGGAGUAAAAGAAAAAGAAAGAAUAAAAAAGAAAUAAAGAGAUCAUAUGGAUCUUAUGGAGAGUAAUGACUUCACAUAUAAAGAGUAUGAUGAAUAAAAGUUGUUGAGAGUUGAAAAACAUAGUUUUGGUCAUUGUUGCAAUUAAUAGGAAGUAAUAAAGAAAGAGAGGUUUUCACAUAUAAAUAUACUAUCUUG
Molecule: ribosomal RNA, 8742 nt
Filed under: Triticum aestivum (bread wheat)
Lineage: Eukaryota; Viridiplantae; Streptophyta; Magnoliopsida; Poales; Poaceae
Description: partial small subunit ribosomal RNA
Source: RNAcentral